GAUGAACGCUGGCGGCGUGCCUAAUACAUGCAAGUAGAACGCUGAAGGAGGAGCUUGCUCUUCUGGAUGAGUUGCGAACGGGUGAGUAACGCGUAGGUAACCUGCCUGGUAGCGGGGGAUAACUAUUGGAAACGAUAGCUAAUACCGCAUGACAACAGUUAUUGCAUGAUAACUGUUUAAAAGGGGCAACUGCUCCACUACCAGAUGGACCUGCGUUGUAUUAGCUAGUUGGUGAGGUAACGGCUCACCAAGGCGACGAUACAUAGCCGACCUGAGAGGGUGAUCGGCCACACUGGGACUGAGACACGGCCCAGACUCCUACGGGAGGCAGCAGUAGGGAAUCUUCGGCAAUGGACGGAAGUCUGACCGAGCAACGCCGCGUGAGUGAAGAAGGUUUUCGGAUCGUAAAGCUCGGUUGUAAGAGAAGAACGAGUGUGAGAGUGGAAAGUUCACACUGUGACGGUAUCUUAUCAGAAAGGGACGGCUAACUACGUG
This 495-nucleotide ribosomal RNA is filed under the name uncultured bacterium. RNAcentral's name for it is "partial 16S ribosomal RNA". It matches the Rfam family "Bacterial small subunit ribosomal RNA", at positions 28 to 507 of the family's 1533-position model. The record is from RNAcentral.